RNAcentral lists this ribosomal RNA (303 nucleotides) under uncultured bacterium. RNAcentral describes it as "bacterial SSU rRNA". It matches the Rfam family "Bacterial small subunit ribosomal RNA", at positions 355 to 676 of the family's 1533-position model. The record is from RNAcentral.
UGGGGGAUAUUGCACAAUGGAGGAAACUCUGAUGCAGCGACGCCGCGUGAGGGAAGACGGUCUUCGGAUUGUAAACCUCUGUCUUUGGGGAAGAAAAUGACGGUACCCAAAGAGGAAGCUCCGGCUAACUACGUGCCAGCAGCCGCGGUAAUACGUAGGGAGCGAGCGUUGUCCGGAAUUACUGGGUGUAAAGGGAGCGUAGGCGGGCGAGAAAGUUGAAUGUUAAAUCUACCGGCUUAACUGGUAGCUGCGUUCAAAACUUCUUGUCUUGAGUGAAGUAGAGGCAGGCGGAAUUCCUAGUGU